This 276-nucleotide ribosomal RNA is filed under the name uncultured bacterium. Its description in RNAcentral is "partial 16S ribosomal RNA". It matches the Rfam family "Bacterial small subunit ribosomal RNA", at positions 29 to 303 of the family's 1533-position model. The record is from RNAcentral.
AUGAACGCUAGCGGCAGGCUUAAUACAUGCAAGUCGAACGGUAAGUUUGGUAGCAAUAUCAAACCAAGAGUGACGUACGGGUGCGUAACACGUAUGCAACCUACCUUGUACAGGAGUAUAGCUCGGGGGAAACUCGAAUUAACCCUCCAUGAGAUCACAGUGUGGCAUCACACAGUGAUUAAAACUCAGGUGGUACAAGAUGGGCAUGCGUCUGAUUAGAGUUGGCGGGGUAAUGGCCCACCAAGACGAUGAUCAGUAGGGGACCUGAGAGGGUGA